Molecule: small nuclear RNA, 103 nt
Organism: Nycticebus coucang (slow loris)
Lineage: Eukaryota; Metazoa; Chordata; Mammalia; Primates; Lorisidae
Source: RefSeq, a predicted model, not a curated record
AAACACAGCUAGCAUAUAUCCUAAAAUUGGAACAAUGAGGGGAAGAUUAGAAUGGCCCUUGCACAGGGAUGACAAUCAAAUUUGUGAAGUGUGCCAUAAAAAG